Molecule: transfer RNA, 72 nt
Filed under: Ovis aries (sheep)
Lineage: Eukaryota; Metazoa; Chordata; Mammalia; Artiodactyla; Bovidae
Rfam family: tRNA
About the family: Transfer RNA (tRNA) molecules are approximately 80 nucleotides in length. Their secondary structure includes four short double-helical elements and three loops (D, anti-codon, and T loops).
Source: Rfam by way of RNAcentral
UCCCUGGUGGCUCAGAUGGUAAAGAAUCUGCCUGCAACGCAGGAGACCCAGGUUCGAUUCCUGGGUCGAGAA